Molecule: ribosomal RNA, 483 nt
Filed under: uncultured bacterium
Lineage: Bacteria
Description: partial 16S ribosomal RNA
Rfam family: Bacterial small subunit ribosomal RNA
Source: RNAcentral
AUUGAACGCUGGCGGCAGGCCUAACACAUGCAAGUCGAGCGGAUGAAGGGAGCUUGCUCCUGGAUUCAGCGGCGGACGGGUGAGUAAUGCCUAGGAAUCUGCCUGGUAGUGGGGGAUAACGUCCGGAAACGGGCGCUAAUACCGCAUACGUCCUGAGGGAGAAAGUGGGGGAUCUUCGGACCUCACGCUAUCAGAUGAGCCUAGGUCGGAUUAGCUAGUUGGUGGGGUAAAGGCCUACCAAGGCGACGAUCCGUAACUGGUCUGAGAGGAUGAUCAGUCACACGGGAACUGAGACACGGUCCAGACUCCGACGGGAGGCAGCAGUGGGGAAUAUUGGACAAGGGGCGAAAGCCUGAUCCAGCCAUGCCGCGUGUGUGAAGAAGGUCUUCGGAUUGUAAAGCACUUUAAGUUGGGAGGAAGGGCAGUAAGUUAAUACCUUGCUGUUUUGACGUUACCAACAGAAUAAGCACCGGCUAACUUCGU